Molecule: ribosomal RNA, 308 nt
Filed under: uncultured Anaerolineaceae bacterium
Lineage: Bacteria; Bacillati; Chloroflexota; Anaerolineae; Anaerolineales; Anaerolineaceae
Description: bacterial SSU rRNA
Rfam family: Bacterial small subunit ribosomal RNA
Source: RNAcentral
UCGUGUCGUGAGAUGUCGGUUAAGUCCGCUAACGAGCGCAACCCUCGCUGUGUGUUACAAGUGUCACACGGAACUGCCGGUCAUAAACCGGAGGAAGGUGGGAUGACGUCAAGUCAGCAUGGCCUUUAUAUCCUGGGCUACACACACGCUACAAUGGGAAGGGACAAUAGGUUGCGAAGCCGCGAGGCGGAGCCAAUCCAGCAAAACUUCCCUCAGUUCAGAUUGCAGGCUGCAACUCGCCUGCAUGAAGUUGGAGUUGCUAGUAAACGCAGGUCAGCCAUACUGCGUUGAAUACGUUCCCGGGCCUU